Cyprinus carpio carpio is the source of this 578-nucleotide long non-coding RNA. NCBI's taxonomy places the organism in Eukaryota, Metazoa, Chordata, Actinopteri, Cypriniformes, Cyprinidae. The record is from Ensembl.
UUAAACGAAACCUCAAGAUCUUCGCAAUUUAACAUCGCAAAGGCCUUUAGAUUACACUGACAAAGUUUGGUGUUGAUCUGAAUAAAUCUCUAGGAGGAGUUCGUUAAAGUACAACCCCUGAAAAUGGCAAAAACGACACAAACUUUGCAGAGAAAAUUCAAAAUAACUGACUUCCUGUUGGGAUUCGAAUUUCGUACCAAGAGACUUUUUUGUAGGUAUUGGUGUGUUACAUGUGUGUACCGAUUUUUGUACAUGUACGUGAAACGUAGCUCGAGGCGCACUCCGUUGAAAAUGUAUAGGUGGCGCUAUCGAGGCAUUUUGCCACACCCGAUGGAAUAUUGGCCUUCAGAUUUGUUCAGGCCAGGACUCUUAUCGAACAUGUGAAGUUUGGGCAAGAUCGGACAUUUUAUGCCUGAGUUACAAUAACUUUUAUUCCCAUGGCGAGACAUCGAACUUUGUGACAGCGCCAUGGACACGUCCUUUAACGAAAACUCAAGAUCUUCACAAUUUAACAUCGCACAGGCCUUUAGAAUAGAGUGACUGAAAAAAAAAAAAUUAUGUCAUAAAAUUUCUCGGGG